Molecule: ribosomal RNA, 378 nt
Filed under: uncultured bacterium
Lineage: Bacteria
Description: bacterial SSU rRNA
Rfam family: Bacterial small subunit ribosomal RNA
Source: RNAcentral
AUUGAACGCUGGCGGAAUGCUUUACACAUGCAAGUCGAACGGCAGCACGGGGCAACCUGGUGGCGAGUGGCGAACGGGUGAGUAAUACAUCGGAACGUGCCCAAUCGUGGGGGAUAACGUAGCGAAAGUUACGCUAAUACCGCAUACGAUCUACGGAUGAAAGCGGGGGAUCGCAAGACCUCGCGCGAAUGGAGCGGCCGAUGUCAGAUUAGGUAGUUGGUGGGGUAAAGGCUCACCAAGCCGACGAUCUGUAGCUGGUCUGAGAGGACGACCAGCCAUACUGGGACUGAGACACGGCCCAGACUCCUACGGGAGGCAGCAGUGGGGAAUUUUGGACAAUGGGCGCAAGCCUGAUCCAGCCAUUCCGCGUGCAGGAUG